ACUAGUGAUUAGAGUUUGAUCCUGGCUCAGGAUGAACGCUGGCGGCGUGCCUAAUACAUGCAAGUCGAGCGAACGGAUUAAGAGCUUGCUCUUAUGAAGUUAGCGGCGGACGGGUGAGUAACACGUGGGUAACCUGCCCAUAAGACUGGGAUAACUCCGGGAAACCGGGGCUAAUACCGGAUAACAUUUUGAACCGCAUGGUUCGAAAUUGAAAGGCGGCUUCGGCUGUCACUUAUGGAUGGACCCGCGUCGCAUUAGCUAGUUGGUGAGGUAACGGCUCACCAAGGCAACGAUGCGUAGCCGACCUGAGAGGGUGAUCGGCCACACUGGGACUGAGACACGGCCCAGACUCCUACGGGAGGCAGCAGUAGGGAAUCUUCCGCAAUGGACGAAAGUCUGACGGAGCAACGCCGCGUGAGUGAUGAAGGCUUUCGGGUCGUAAAACUCUGUUGUUAGGGAAGAACAAGUGCUAGUUGAAUAAGCUGGCACCUUGACGGUACCUAACCAGAAAG
This 512-nucleotide ribosomal RNA is filed under the name Bacillus sp. EN04. Its description in RNAcentral is "bacterial SSU rRNA". It matches the Rfam family "Bacterial small subunit ribosomal RNA", at positions 1 to 490 of the family's 1533-position model. Lineage: Bacteria; Bacillati; Bacillota; Bacilli; Caryophanales; Bacillaceae. The record is from RNAcentral.